This 975-nucleotide ribosomal RNA is filed under the name Natara olivacea. Its description in RNAcentral is "SSU rRNA". It matches the Rfam family "Eukaryotic small subunit ribosomal RNA", at positions 118 to 1101 of the family's 1831-position model. The record is from RNAcentral. Lineage: Eukaryota; Fungi; Ascomycota; Leotiomycetes; Helotiales.
UAUUUGAUAGUACCUUACUACUUGGAUAACCGUGGUAAUUCUAGAGCUAAUACAUGCUAAACACCCCGACUUCGGAAGGGGUGUAUUUAUUAGAUAAAAAACCAAUGCCCUUCGGGGCUCCUUGGUGAUUCAUAAUAACUUAACGAAUCGCAUAGCCUUGUGCUGGCGAUGGUUCAUUCAAAUUUCUGCCCUAUCAACUUUCGAUUGUAUGGUAUUGGCUUACAAUGGUUUCAACGGGUAACGGGGAAUUAGGGUUCUAUUCCGGAGAGGGAGCCUGAGAAACGGCUACCACAUCCAAGGAAGGCAGCAGGCGCGCAAAUUACCCAAUCCCGACACGGGGAGGUAGUGACAAUAAAUACUGAUACAGGGCUCUUUUGGGUCUUGUAAUUGGAAUGAGUACAAUUUAAAUCCCUUAACGAGGAACAAUUGGAGGGCAAGUCUGGUGCCAGCAGCCGCGGUAAUUCCAGCUCCAAUAGCGUAUAUUAAAGUUGUUGCAGUUAAAAAGCUCGUAGUUGAACCUUGGGUUUGGUUGGUCGGUCCGCCUCACCGCGUGCACUGAUCCGACCGAAUCUUUCCUUCUGGGGAACCGUAUGCCCUUCACUGGGUGUGCUGGGGAACCAGGACUUUUACUUUGAAAAAAUUAGAGUGUUCAAAGCAGGCCUAUGCUCGAAUACAUUAGCAUGGAAUAAUAGAAUAGGACGUGUGGUUCUAUUUUGUUGGUUUCUAGGACCGCCGUAAUGAUUAAUAGGGAUAGUCGGGGGCAUCAGUAUUCAAUUGUCAGAGGUGAAAUUCUUGGAUUUAUUGAAGACUAACUACUGCGAAAGCAUUUGCCAAGGAUGUUUUCAUUAAUCAGUGAACGAAAGUUAGGGGAUCGAAGACGAUCAGAUACCGUCGUAGUCUUAACCAUAAACUAUGCCGACUAGGGAUCGGGCGGUGUUAUCUUUUUGACCCGCUCGGCACCUUACGAGAAAUCAA